GACGAACGCUGGCGGCGCGCUUAACACAUGCAAGUCGAACGGUAAGGAGCUGCUUUUGCGGCGUGACCGUGUGGCGCACGGGUGUGUCACAUGUGAGUCCUCUGCCUUAGAGUUUGGCAUAACUUGAGGAAACUGGGGCUAACCCCGGAUAGGAGCUGCUGCUCAUUGGCCGGGGUCGGAAGGUUUCGGCGGUUGGGGAUGGACUCGCGGCUUAUCAGCUUGUUGGUGGGGUAGUGGCUCACCAAGGCUUCGACGGGUAGCCGGACUGAGAGGGUGACCGGCCACAUUGGAUCUGAGAUGCGGCCCAGACUCCUACGGGAGGCAGCGGAGGGGAAGAGUGCACAAUGGGAGGAAGCCAGAUGCAGCAACGCCGCGUGCGGGAUGAGAGCCUGCGGGUUGUAAACCGCUUUCGCCUGUGACGAAGCGUGAGUGACGGUAAUGGGUAAAGAAGCACCGGCUAACUACGUG
This 468-nucleotide ribosomal RNA is filed under the name uncultured bacterium. RNAcentral's name for it is "partial 16S ribosomal RNA". It matches the Rfam family "Bacterial small subunit ribosomal RNA", at positions 28 to 507 of the family's 1533-position model. The record is from RNAcentral.